AGCACCAAUAGCGUAUAUUAAAGUUGCUGCAGUUAAAACGCUCGUAGUCGAAUUUUUGGGAGGCUGCAUUUGUUGCGCUGUUAGCGUCUACUGUUGCAGGCCCCACUCUUCUUGGAGCGGCGGAUUUUCCGUUGAGCCAAGACUUUUACUUUGAAUAAAUUAGAGUGUUCAACGCAGGCAAUUGCUUGAAUACAUUAGCAUGGAAUAAUAGAAUAGGACUUUGGUUUUAUUUUGUUGGUUUUUAGAACCAAAGUAAUGAUUAAUAGGGAUAGCUGGGGGUAUUAGUAUUUAGAAGCUAGAGGUGAAAUUCUUGGAUUUUCUAAAGACUCACUAUUGCGAAAGCAUCUACCAAGAAUGUUUUCAUUG
Molecule: ribosomal RNA, 366 nt
Filed under: Strongwellsea sp.
Lineage: Eukaryota; Fungi; Entomophthoromycota; Entomophthoromycetes; Entomophthorales; Entomophthoraceae
Description: partial small subunit ribosomal RNA
Rfam family: Eukaryotic small subunit ribosomal RNA
Source: RNAcentral